Molecule: ribosomal RNA, 478 nt
Filed under: uncultured bacterium
Lineage: Bacteria
Description: partial 16S ribosomal RNA
Rfam family: Bacterial small subunit ribosomal RNA
Source: RNAcentral
GACGAACGCUGGCGGCGUGCUUAACACAUGCAAGUCGAGCGGUCCUUUCCUUCGGGGUACACGAGCGGCGAACGGGUGAGUAACACGUGGGUGAUCUGCCUCGUACUUCGGGAUAAGCCUGGGAAACUGGGUCUAAUACCGGAUAUGACCGCAUGCUGCAUGGUGUGUGGUGGAAAGAUUUAUCGGUGCGAGAUGGGCCCGCGGCCUAUCAGCUUGUUGGUGGGGUAAUGGCCUACCAAGGCGACGACGGGGAGCCGGCCUGAGAGGGUGACCGGCCACGCUGGGACUGGGACACGGCGCAGACUCCGACGGGAGGCAGCAGUGGGGAAUAUUGCACAAUGGGCGGAAGCCUGAUGCAGCGACGCCGCGUGAGGGAUGACGGCCUUCGGGUUGUAAACCUCUUUCGACAGGGACGAAGCGGAAGUGACGGUACCUGUAGAAGAAGCACCGGCCAACUACGUGCCAGCCGCCGCCGUAA